CAAUAGCGGAGGAAAAGAAACUAACAAGGAUUCCCCUAGUAACGGCGAGUGAAGAGGGAAGAGCUCAAAUUUUAAAUCUGCCUUGUUCCAAGGUCGAGUUGUAAUUUGAAGAAGCGUUUUCUUGGGCUCGCGGCCGGUAGAAGUUCUUUGGAACAGGACAUCAUAGAGGGUGACAAUCCCGUCCGUGACCGGUCGUGCGUUCAUCUACGAUACGCUUUCAAAGAGUCGAGUUGUUUGGGAUUGCAGCUCCAAACGGGUGGUAAACAUCACCUAAGGCUAAAUAUUGGCGAGAGACCGAUAGCGAACAAGUACCGUGAGGGAAAGAUGAAAAGAACUUUGAAAAGAGAGUUAAACAGUACGUGAAAUUGUUGAAAGGGAAACGAUUGAAGUCAGUCGUGCUGGCGCGAAAUCAACCCUCUCGUCUUGAGAUCACAUGGCGCGACGAGCCUCAAAACCGUCACGAAGCGUGAACUCUUGACGAAAAGGUGCACUUUCGUGUCCGCUGGUUAACAUCAAUUUCGAACGUCAUAAAAAGGCUGGAGGGAUGUGGCUCCUUCGGGAGUGUUAUAACCUUUAGCGGAAUGUGGCGUUCGGGAUUGAGGAUUGCAACGAAUACCUUCAGGGCUGUUCCACCUGGCUUCUCAUUGGUAUCCUGGUGACGACAGCUUGCUGACGUCGUUAGGAUCAGCUUCUGAACAGGCUAGAGUGUGAGCAAAUUCGUUAAGGAUGUUAACGUAAUGGCUUUAAACGACCCGUCU
This 758-nucleotide ribosomal RNA is filed under the name Glomeromycotina sp. OTU31 DJMC-2012. Its description in RNAcentral is "eukaryotic LSU rRNA". It matches the Rfam family "Eukaryotic large subunit ribosomal RNA", at positions 44 to 654 of the family's 3401-position model. Lineage: Eukaryota; Fungi; Glomeromycota. The record is from RNAcentral.